GAGCCUCACAGGAAGGGAACGGCCAGGCUGGGAGCUGAAGCAAGGCCCGGGAUUCUCAAGCCAGCAACUACGGCUCCACAGAGCAGGCCCCCCACCCUCCUCCUGGGCUUGAAAGGGUGGAGAGGUGGGGUUGCCCACCCUGUCAUGCUUCACGGAGGCUCUGUCGCUGUGUCCCAAGAAGCCAAUUCUGUAAGAAAAGAUCCAGCCUUGACGGCCCAUGGAGACGUGCAGAAGAGGCGGCGGCGAGGAGGGGAGGCUGGAGAGGGUCUCUGACCUUUCCCUAUGGUCUCUUAAAUUCGUCCAUGGUAGGAAGGGAGAUGGAGCAUGGGCAGUGCCUCUAAGUCGGCCGUGCGAAUGCAAAGGGCCACAGCACAGGCUCCUACUGUCUUCGAAGCCCCUGAUGCAAGCGUGAGCAUCAGGGCCUCAGGCCGGCUGACCUCCCUUAGCCAGCUGGUAAUCCUAAGAUUCAUGCCAAGACAUUCUCCCCUCCGAGCUGAUGGAACACAGCUGUGCACCAGUAACUUCUGGAUCCUUGGAUUUGGCUGAAGGGAGGUCACCAAAGGUUGCUCGGUCACUGCACGUUCAGAGCCAAGUCACACGUGGACACCCUCAUUGGCCCAGGUUGUCUUUAUCUUGGCAGCGGCCGACCCAGAGCAGACUCUGGGUGGAGUCAGGAUGGUGCAUUGUUCUCCCCCACAGCCGGUGACCCGCUUAGCUGCCUGGGCUGGCACCAGCUGAGGUCUGGCGGAGUGAGGGCCGUCCCCGGUAAUGGCAGGGCCACUGUGUCUGCUGGGUGCGGCAGACGCUUCCUAAGGGCCCACUCUUUGGUUCAACAUGAGCUGAUGCUUGCUCCUGGGUUUCCAAAUCUUUCUGAGAUUCUGCAAGAAUCUGACCUAUUCCUCUGGUUUAUGGAGGCAGCGGGCUGACUUGUGUUUCCCCACCAGCAGAUCAUUGUUCUAGGAAGGGAGGCAAUCAGGGUCCCAAAGGGGCUGCCCAAGGCAGAGUAUUCUUCAGCAGUAGCUGCCCCGUGCCAACUCCUGCAAACUCCUUAGCACAUCCACACUCUCUCAUACGUGUCGAAUCCCUUGGUCCUUGCGACAGCCCUCUGAAAUGCGCGUGACAGCACAGAGGAGGCCAGGGACCAGAAAAGACAACUGCAGGAGAAAGCUGGGGGCUGUGCGGAGAGGUGGAAAGAGCCUGGAUCUCUGAGGGAACUACCCUUUCUAAAUGGCCCCCUUUGUAUUUCUUGUUCUGCAAGGAGAAAUAAGCUCCUAUCUUAUAAUAUGAUGUGGGUUUUCUGUUACCUGUACCCAGUGCAAUCCUAACAGACUUGCCUGGAAUUCAUUCUCAAUCUCCAGCCAAAGGAGAUUACCCAAAGAACUUUUCCUAAAAAUUCACAAAUCGAGAUGGCCCCCAUUAUACCCUGUGCAAAGUCUGAGUUUCAAGGUGUAGGGAGAGUUGACAGAUGGCAAUGCCAUACUAUGGCCUGGAAAGGGAGAAUGUGACUGGCAGUGCCAAAGGAAGAGAGGCUGAGCCCAAGGGAAGACUCAGGCCCUGGCCUUGAGGAAGAGGAAGUCAAAAGCAUCCUGCUGUAGUCCCUUGACCCUGAAAUAUACACAGACACAGACACAUCAAAGUUCCUACUAACACACAGAGACUCACACAUAUUCCCAGAAACACACAGAUACAAGCAGACUCCUACUAAUUCUCCCUCCCUCGCUCUCAUCUACAUACAUUGACUCACAAACACACGGAUUCUUAUCUACAAACUCACCCACGCACAGACAUAUACUCAGAUCCACAAAGCCACACACACAGACACAGACACACAGGGCCACGGGGGGGCAGGGGAGGGGAGGUGUGGAGUGAGCUGGGGAGAAGGUGGCAGUUAGGUGAGUGGAGGUCUUUUCCUUUGCAGGGGAGGUGGUGGGGGUGUCUGGUGAGGGAGACAAAGAGAGAGCCUCCCUAAUUCCUCUGAGAACGUGGUCUGGGUCAGAACAUCUUCCGCCAUAGGAAGCCGCUGGGUGGCUCCCAUGUCCCUGGAAGUCAGCCACUUUUUUCAGAGGGAGGUCAAUCCCUUCCAUGGCAGGUCACCCCGUGUGCAAGGAGCAGGCAGCACCUGGCCAUGGGAAACAAUCAACCCGGGGAUUUUUUCCAUAAAGAGAAAGGUGAGGCCAGACGGAAGCCCAGGUCCCUGAGAACACGGCAAGAUCAGGUUUCCCAUGAAACCGCAGGCUGGAGAGCCUCCCAGUGAAGCAGAGAACCCACGCGGUCCUUGCUCUGGGUCAUGAGACAGGGACAGACAGCUCAGGUGACCCACGCGCUUUCAGACAGGUAAGAGGGGAUCCAGGUCUGGCGCCCCACCCUCCCAGUGACCCUGGGUUAGUGCCUUUCUCUCUCUGGACCACCGGUGGCUCACCUGUAAGGACAGAGGUCUCCCUCUAAAGUCCCACUGAAGUGACUUACAACUUAACAGGCUAAGGUUUUUGCCUCCCUGCUGGGUCCAAAGGAACCAGGGCAGCAGCCCCCACCCUUUGACCAUCGCCCCUUCUGCUGCCGUUCCUCAGUGUCUUGGCAAGAGGGCAGGGGAAAGGGCUCCUGUUGCAGGGCACACCGGGCCUUCCGUACACCCUUACUGCUGGCCCUGCCUGCACCAGCACCCACCUGCAUGGUGCCAGAAUCUUGUUGAGAUUUGGUUUGUCGGUGAAGAGAGGGAGUACCCAGGGACUUCCGAGAGCCCUGGCAAAGCUGACCUGGAUGGCAGGUGGUUCUCAUCGUCAGUUUCUUGUGCCCAAGUAGCUGCCUUUUCCCACUCCCUCUGACACUCUCUGAAGGGAUCCCUGAAGGCUCCUGGGCUCUGCCAGGGAGGAGACACACUCCUGAGCCUGGCACCCUUUCCACUGAAGCACAUACUAAGGCUUUCCAGAAGUCUGUCCUGGGCUCCUAUCCAGAGGUCUGGCUACUUUUCCUGAGGACUCUGGCUCCAGGGGCUCUUGAGGUCAGGCAGGACCUUCAAAUGGCAGUGAUCCAAGGCCACGUGCCCAUAGAGGACAGGAAAGCCAGCUGGGCAUGAGCUCCUCUGGAGCAGCUUCAGGUAGGACAGGGGAGACAGAACAGCCACAGCCCCACCCUCACUUCAGACACCACCACAGCCACCACCCAGGCCUCUGGCCAGUCCUGAAGUUCCGCUUCUGGCCUGACCUUGUGCUAUGGGCUAAACUGUGUACUCCCUGCCACACACAAUGCUGAUGCGGAAACUCUAAUCCCCAGUACCUCAAAGUUGGAUGUAUUUGGACAUAGGGGCUUUAAAGAGCUGAUUAAUUUAAAGUGAGGUCACUGGGGUGGAACCUGAUCCAACAUGACCGGUGUCCUUAUUAGAAGAGGGCAUCGGGAUACAGAUGAGUGCAGUGGAAAGACCCUGUGAAGACACAGGGAGAAGACGGUUAUCUGCAAGCCAAGGAAAGAGGCCUGGAGCAGAUGUUUCUUGGAACAAAACCAGCCCUGCUGACACCUUGAUCUUGGACUUCCAGCCUCCAGAACUAUGAGACAUAAACUUCUGUUGUUUAAGCCAAUCAGUCUGAGGCACUUUGCAGCCUGCACUGACUAACACACCUGUGUGGAGCCUCAGGUAAGCAUCUUCUUCUCCAGGACCCUCCUAGGCCUGUCCUGUACUCAUGGGAAGGAAGACUGCCCCACCACUCCACCAAUCAGCUCUUUCAUCCCCUGGCUCCCUGUGGAAGUCACCACCUUUGCUGGAAGAGGAAAACCUUCUCCAUGGCAGGCCAUGUCUCUGAGGGUCCCCAAAACCCCCACAGGCCAGCAGAGCAGCUCUCAGCUUCCAUGAUCUUUAGAGCCCCUGCUGGCUCUGAUUCCCAACAGGUCUCACAGCUCACAGACCAUCUGAGGGCUGUUCUCAAAAGGGCACUGGCAGAGGCCUUGAGCAGGAAGUGCUGCAGGUCCUAAGAGCCCUCAGAAGGCUGGCACGAGGUCAGAGAAGGGAGGCCGGCCCCAUCAGCAGCCCCCUCCUCACCUGUACAGCAAUGCAGGGGGUGCCCUCUGUUCCAGUCCAGAAGAAGAAAGGGCUCACACAGCAAGUGCUGAAGGCAUCCCUCCCAAAGUCUGAUGGGAAACUCCCUUCCUAGUCCUCACAAGACUUCCAAGGGACAGAGGAAUGCAACAGACAGAGAAAACACCCUGCCCUGAAUCCCGGGACAUUGCCCCAGCAGUGAAUGUGGAAAUCUUGCCAAGUUUCCCCAGGGAGGGCUGAACCCUGGAGCCAAUUGUGAGGCUCCAUGUGACUCCAAGUCCUACAGCUCAUGCCAAAGGGCUGCAUCUGCCUGUGGCCCUCCUGGGCUGGGGGAGACAGUCUUCUCUGCUUUGAGUAGUAUCAGUCUGCAUAGGUGGACGCCAUCCACAAAGAACGUAGGGGUAGACGAGGCCCUGUGGACAGGCCCCACGGCGUGGGCCAGGCUGCUCCCUGGCUGCUGUGGAGGUCAGGGAGGUCGACUGCAGCAGCUUGCUUGGUGCAGUGAGGACAGUCCAAAGAGUCAGCAAGGGCCAGCAUCUUCAGAGAAAAGCAGGAUCCAGAGGCUCCCCAGGUCCCCAUAUCUCUGGUGGGUGUCAGGCCUCUUGGAGGAAGCCUGGUGGGACCCUCACUAGAGGUGACACUGGAGAGAAGAUGAUGUCAGGGACAGAGGUGUCCAAGCACCCAUUUCUUCCCCACUCCCCAAAACAGGAGUGAAGGAUCAGCAACCAAAAGAAGAAACACAGGAAAACCAGCAGGGCAUUCUGGAAUGGAGCGGACCUAAUGCUGGAGUGCAAUGGUGCAAUCUUGGCUCACUGCAACCUCCGCCUCCCAGGUUCAAGUGAUUCUCCUGCCUCAGCCUCCUGACCUCAGCCUUCCAGUGCUCUGAGAAUGGGACCCAACUCCUCUCCAGACACCAAGGAGCUGACUCUUCCCACCCCUUCCUCCCUCUCUUCCCUUCUGACCAAGGGCCCACCAAGCCCUUUCCUGCUUCCAGACUUUGGUUCUUCCUGGAAUGUUCUUCCCUCAGCUUCCUUGUGGCUGUUUCCUCCCCACACCCCAGGUCUCAUCUCAGAUGUCCUGUCCGCGAGAAGCCCCUCCAGGGCCACCUUGUAGCGCAGCUUGCCCAGUUACUCUCUCCUUCCACCCUGCUGCUUUCCUCCAUGUAACUCACCACAAUCCAUCAUUAUCUUCCUUUUUCUUCUUUGUUUAUUGUCAACCUCCCAUCAAAAAGCAAGCUCCAAGGGCCCAUGUCUAGCAUGCAAUAAGCGUUACACAAACAUGUGGUGAAUCAAAUGAACAAACAAUCUUGUUACCAAUCUGGAUGUAACUCAGGCCAAUCUGCCGUCCUUUCCUGGUGGGGAGAGGGGGGCAUGUUGCUGCCCCUGCACAUCUGGAGGAAAGAAUGAGGGGGCAGGUGGGAUGACAGUCCCCUCACAUCCUAGGUCAUCCGCAAUCCAAUGCCCCUGCACUCUCCACUCUUACAUUCUCUGUGUUAACAAGGGAGGGAGGAUCACUGAAAUCUGAAGAUAAUCCCCAAACGUCAUUUCAGCUGUCUGUGUCAACCUCCUCUGAAGCUAUGCUUUCCUUUGCCCCAGCAGUUGCUAACGAGGCACAAAAGAAUAAAUGUUUCAAGUUGCACAACCUA
Homo sapiens (human) is the source of this 5672-nucleotide long non-coding RNA. The record is from Ensembl. Lineage: Eukaryota; Metazoa; Chordata; Mammalia; Primates; Hominidae.